CCUACGGGAGGCAGCAGUGGGGAAUAUUGGACAAUGGGGGCAACCCUGAUCCAGCCAUGCCGCGUGUGUGAAGAAGGCCCUCGGGUUGUAAAGCACUUUCAGUGAGUAAGAACGCCUGGUGGUUAAUACCCAUCAGGAAAGACAUCACUCACAGAAGAAGCACCGGCUAACUCCGUGCCAGCAGCCGCGGUAAUACGGAGGGUGCGAGCGUUAAUCGGAAUUACUGGGCGUAAAGCGCGCGUAGGUGGCUUGAUAAGCCGGUUGUGAAAGCCCCGGGCUCAACCUGGGAACGGCAUCCGGAACUGUCAAGCUAGAGUGCAGGAGAGGAAGGUAGAAUUCCCGGUGUAGCGGUGAAAUGCGUAGAGAUCGGGAGGAAUACCAGUGGCGAAGGCGGCCUUCUGGACUGACACUGACACUGAGGUGCGAAAGCGUGGGUAGCAAACAGGAUUAGAUACCCUAGUAGUC
RNAcentral lists this ribosomal RNA (465 nucleotides) under Vreelandella stevensii. Its description in RNAcentral is "partial 16S ribosomal RNA". It matches the Rfam family "Bacterial small subunit ribosomal RNA", at positions 338 to 795 of the family's 1533-position model. Lineage: Bacteria; Pseudomonadati; Pseudomonadota; Gammaproteobacteria; Oceanospirillales; Halomonadaceae. The record is from RNAcentral.